This 253-nucleotide ribosomal RNA is filed under the name uncultured bacterium. RNAcentral's name for it is "partial 16S ribosomal RNA". It matches the Rfam family "Bacterial small subunit ribosomal RNA", at positions 524 to 776 of the family's 1533-position model. The record is from RNAcentral.
UACGUAGGGUGCGAGCGUUAAUCGGAAUUACUGGGCGUAAAGCGUGCGUAGGCGGUUUUUUAAGUCAGGUGUGAAAGCCCCGGGCUUAACCUGGGAAUGGCAUUUGGGACUGCAAGGCUUGAGUGCGGCAGAGGGGACUGGAAUUCCUGGUGUAGCAGUGAAAUGCGUAGAUAUCAGGAGGAAUACCGAUGGCGAAGGCAGGUCUCUGGGCUGACACUGACGCUCAUGCACGAAAGCGUGGGGAGCAAACAGG